CCCCUCGGUUUUGCUGUUUCGCUUGGGAUCGCGGGUAUCGGUUCCCUGUGCGACUUUAACCGAGGAACUUGCCUCUGAAUUUGACUAGGUUUCAUUGUCUGGAAAAUCGUGAGAAAAUUCAUUGACUGGCGGUGGACAUUGUCACCAGAGGAUGCGCACGCAGUCCCUUUGUGGGGAGUCGUAUUGGGACCAUGUCUGGGGCCUCACGAGAAGCCAUAAAUUCCUCUAGUGCUGAAAUUUUCCUUCUGUUGUUGCUGGAAAGGCGUCGAUAGCUGGGUACUCCAUUGAGGGACAAUAGUGGAGUGUUGCAGGGAGAGGCAAUUGAAUUAUAGACGGACCGUGAAUAUCCAAGGGACACUGCAAAAUUGAUUUUGACAGGAAAAUCACGUGACGGGAUUUAUUACAUGAGGAGGCAGUAUACCAUUUCCAGCCUCCCUGAUUAUAUUCUGCGGUAAUAUAUUGUCCAGGACAGUAUGGAGUUAUGGGGUGGAGAGAGCGCUGCGGCGUUUUCCAACCAUAUGCAGGAUUGAAGCAAUUAUCCACGCAUGAAUUGCCCUCCCACCCCCUCUGCAACAAUUCUCCCCUUCUAGAACAGGCUUUUAUCAACGAUUGCAAGUUUGGCAGAUUGAUCCUGCUAUAGAUGAAUUUUCUGCGAUUUUUUAAUUAGUUUUCCGGAAUGUGGGACUUCACUCCGAGAGUGAUUCGGUAAAGUCGUAAUUGUUUAAAAAUAUUAUCAUUUGAAAUUCAAAUUUUAUACGAAAAUUACAAUCAAAUAUCAAUUUUAAAUGCAACGAUCGGAUUAAGAAUUCAUUGAAUCUGGAAUGGAAAAUGAA
Long non-coding RNA from Diachasmimorpha longicaudata, 833 nucleotides. RefSeq lists it as uncharacterized. Lineage: Eukaryota; Metazoa; Arthropoda; Insecta; Hymenoptera; Braconidae. The record is from RefSeq and is a predicted model, not a curated record. The transcript is spliced from 3 exons.